ACUGACCUUAGUACGAGAGGACCGGGUUGGACGGACCACUGGUUUACCGGUUGUGGCGCCAGCUGCACCGCCGGGUAUCCACGUCCGGUCAGGAUAAGCGCUGAAAGCAUCUAAGCGCGAAGCCGUCUCCGGGAUUAGACUUCCAUGAGGGCCGUCGGAGACUACGACGUAGAUAGGCAGGAGAUGUAAAGGCGGCGACGCCAAAGUCGACCUGUACUAAUAGCCCGAAGGUUUCUUCGC
RNAcentral lists this ribosomal RNA (240 nucleotides) under Candidatus Cryptobacteroides merdigallinarum. Its description in RNAcentral is "partial 23S ribosomal RNA". It matches the Rfam family "Bacterial large subunit ribosomal RNA", at positions 2671 to 2925 of the family's 2925-position model. Lineage: Bacteria; Pseudomonadati; Bacteroidota; Bacteroidia; Bacteroidales. The record is from RNAcentral.